UUUUAUCAGCUAGUUCAUGCUUGCGUUGAAAGAGUGGUCGUUUGCGCUGGGUCAUCACUGUGUAGUAUUGGGGAUACUUAGGUGAGAAAAAAACUUAACGCUAGAGACGUUCACGCACUAGUGGAGAAGCCAGGAUUGUUGCCCUAGAGUUACAGUAGAUAAAAGUACCUCAGAGAACUGCGGGGGCUCCCAACCUGGACGCUUGCACCGGAGUAUUAAAUCCAGCUAGAGAAUGGCAUGUGCAAAGAUACAGAGUUCUGUAAACCAGAAAUCUAAAAUCAGU
RNAcentral lists this long non-coding RNA (283 nucleotides) under Homo sapiens (human). RNAcentral's name for it is "non-protein coding KCTD21-AS1:11". The record is from RNAcentral. Lineage: Eukaryota; Metazoa; Chordata; Mammalia; Primates; Hominidae.